UGGGGAUCCCGAUGCUCCUCCUGCUCCCGCGGCUCCUCUCCUCCUCACCUCCGCCUUCUCCACCUCCGCCUCGCAUCGCUGGCCUCAGCCGCCGCCGACCAGCGCAGCCCUCCUGGUGCUCCCUGCAGCUCUGGGCCUGGAGAAGUGGAAGAUAUGUCCCCCGCACAGCCUGGUUUUCAGCAUCCCCGUGUCCUCUUUCCCUUUUUGAAGCCAGAACUUCAGGGUCAGACCCUUUGUACAUCAUCAAUUUCAUCCUGACUCUUUCCAGCAGCCCCUGAGCUCGCUGCUUUGUUUAUGCUAGUGUCCAGAAACAACUCCUGCUUUCCUGGUCUGCUGAACUUCUGAACAAUCCUUGCUUUGGAUCCAAUAAUACAAGGGGCAGCUGCUCUGCCAGCGGCAGUCCUAAUCCAAGUGGGUAAAAAAGGCUGCUUAAAAAAAAGGGCUGUAGGCUUGCUUGAGCAGCCUGCAGCAUGCCCAGCAGUAAUGCCUUCAUUUAGAGCAGCCUUGCAGUGUCUCCAGGCUUUCGCAGUGUUUGUGUGGGUAAGUAAAAUGUGAUUAGUUUCUCAGUAAUGUAUUGAUUCAGUGAGUAGAUUUUGUAUGUGGACUUGGUUAUUGAUUGGGCAAAUUUGCAAGGAUGUUUGAAGCCUGAAUCUUUGCCUACCAGAAAUAUGGUGAGAUAGACAUGUAUAUAUAUAUAUAUUUAUAUAGGUAAACAGGGGAUACUUGUGACUCUUUAUUUCUCCUGCCUCCCUUAAAUUGAAGUAGUAAAUCAGUAUGAUCAAAAGAGCUAGAAUAAUCAAUCUGUCCUUACACAAUUGAUCUGAGAGCCCUAAUUAAAACUAUAGAGAAAUUAAACGUAAGGUUUCUUGUUCUCUCUGCAACAUUGUACAGUCUUCUGUUAUGGAACUCAUACAGUUCUGAUGUACAGAGUAAAAUUGUGAAGGUGAAAUACUUUACCUACAGAUGUACCAAGGCCACAUAUCUGCUGGGAGGACAUUUCUGUUAUCCUGUUGCCUUCUGUUUAAGUUCUCACAUGGCGUUAAUCACCAUGGUAUCUUACAGCUUUAGAAAAAUAUAGUGCACCAUAUGUGACAAAUCAUUAAUAUCUUUAAGAACGAAGAUGCUAGAUAAAAAUACUCGUCACAAAUCUGAUGCUGAAGAUGUGCAUUGAUGGCCAUCCCCAUCCAUGCAGCCUGAGUGAAAUAAGUGAGUGUAUUUUAUACCAGAGAUGGGGUCAGAGUCUUUCUUUAGGUGGUGACACUGCAUGCAGUCACUCAAUGUAUAGAGUUUAAAUGGCAGAUUCACUCCUUUCUUCUCUAACCCAUGCUAUAGUACACUAAAGCAAAGGGAAAACACGCAAACCACAUCCCUGUACCCUGUGCUGCACCACAGAGGAGUGGCUGCUUUGCAGUGCCCAAGGUUAGCAUCAAAAGAAAAGAACUUGCUGAUAAAUUCAAAGGAAGCUUUUGCACUUAUUGUAUAAUGCUCACGUAGUUAAAAUCCAAACAUUAAGCAAAGUGAGGGGCUGUACUUCAGUUGGAAGGAAUGCACUAGAGUGGUUAUCCCCUCAACUGGUAAUCUCACACAUUUUUGUAUGUUUUUCAUUUUCCACUUAGUUUCAUUCUGAUCUGUUUCCUAUUUAUUCUGUGUCAACACAUAAAUAAUUUUCUCCGUUGUAUCCCUCGCUACUAAAUUAUUUUUCUUGAUGGAACAGCAAAAGUAAUUAUAUUUAUAAAUGGAAUGUCUGUUUUGCCUAAGUACCACGUCUAAUUCCCUUCUGUAAGAGGGAUUUCUAUAAUUCCUCCAAAAAUGUCUUGGCAAAGACCAACCCACCAGUCGGUGGCACGGACCCGGCCUUUAGGGGCAGAACUCAGGGUUCCCAUUCCUUUGGCCAGCAGGCAGGAGGGCACUGUAGAAAAGAAUGCCCUGGUUUGUCUGAGAGAACGGUGCUGAUGUUAACUAUGUGAGUUAUUAAGCAGCCUGGCACUGAGAGUUGCUUGCCACCUGUGGGUUUCACUGUUCAGCACAGGAUUAUUUUGGCAACUGAAGCAUUCUUCAUUGUGGAUGGCUGUGGGAAGAUAUUAAUCCUGCUUUUUGAGUAAGAUGCACUCACUGACCUAAUAGAUCUGUUCCACUUCUACUCUAUGAUGCUGUGAAAGGAAAUCAAACAAGUCCCAAGUAGAAGGAUGAGCAAUCUCGCAUCCUUCUUAUCCGCUUUCUACAUUCUUUUUCAGCUCUUUUCUGCAGACAAGCUGAGAUGUCCAUUGCUUUACAGGAGUAGAAUGGAGGGAGAUCUGUUGUGAAUUCUGCAUUAAGAACAGUUCAGUUUUACAUCUCUGGGUGCUCCUUUAGGAAACCUGAGUCAGAAUCAUUGUAUGGGGAUGGUGAAUCCCCAUACAGUGGGGCCAUGAAUAGUUCACAGCCUGCUCACUGAUGGAACAGAGACAGGCCUCACCGAACUUACCUGUGCUGCAGGAGAAUAAAAGCAUCAUUUUCUUACCGGGUUCUCCAAAUCUAGUAAAUAUUCCUGUACAUUGUUUUCUUUAUUAUUAUCUCGCUAUGUGCUUUCAGUAAGGGUUUGUCCAGGGUAUUUAUUAAGCAGUCAGACAUUCUGUUCCUACAGAUGUGUCAAACUUGAAGAAGGUUGUACCGGAGAGCUGAAAACCGGUGCCCUGUUUGGUUUGGGAGCUGCAAAUGCAGGGAUCUCUGUGACAUGUCUGGUGUGAGGUAGGAGGUCUUUGGCCUGGUGGAAAGUGCCUAAACCUCUCGUCUCACGGACCCUACAGCAGAGCUAGCAUUUCCAUGGGUACCAGUUCCUCAGCUGCCAGAGCUUCCAGCACCCAGCUCUCACCAAAACCACAGGGAGAUCAGAAGAUGGCACAUGCCGCUCCUGAAGCUCAGCGGCUCCUGGGCUGGUGUCUUUGACAUACAGCAGUUCAAACUAGCAGGGUAGGUGCUUUCAACCAGCUAGCAGCGUGAGCCCAGCUCCAUCAGGCUGGGUGUGCUGCUGCUGCUUUGCCCCAGUGCUCCGUGGCCUCGCUGCUGCCCUCCCACUGUGUCUGGCUUUGCUGCUCUGAAGCUGUGUGUGAGUGAGCUGCAGCCUCUGAAGCUCUGCAGAGAAACCGAGGUCCCUUUCCCACUUGAUGGUACAUUUAAUCAGAGGCAUCUCACAAGAUUUGGACUGUAGUAUUUCCUCCUCCCUGUGUACUCUUGCUAAGUGUUCAUGUUUAUUCAAGAUGUAUCUUUAUGAGCGGUUUUCCUUUAUCUCAGUAAUUCAUAUACGCAGUACAAAUUCUGUCUGUCUCCUCAGCUUUUGCAUUCAGCUGCUUUGACUGAUCUAGCACUGCUGAUUUACCAGCUUGUCUGAAAAGAAGGAAGAUUGAUGUUGGCUCAAGUAAAAUACUGAGAUGCCUAUGGAGUUUUCUUGCCCUAGAUUUUUGGAUUGCUAUUUAUUUAAAAUGUAGGCAGAACUCUGACUUCAGUUUUUCAGGAAUGUUUGCCUUAUGUCAGUGUUUCUAAUUCUUUGAGUCAAGUCAUUGUGGUUAGCCAAUCUUGUUUUCUGUCUCUGUGGUAAGAUUUUAAAUCCAGUGGGCUAACCUCAAUGCUCCCCCAAGAAAGGAGGCUGUGAUGACGAUGCAUUUCCUUCUUUGACCUCUGCAGUAGGGCUUUGCAGAAAGAAUCUGUCAAAUUAGGCUGAGCGCCAAGUCACCUGCAUGAGGAUUAAAGGGUCAAACCCUGCUCCUGCAUCAAUAUAUGAAGCAAAAAUUUUCUGGAACAUUUUUAAAGCUAAUUUAUCUUUUAAGAUAAAGUUUAUCUUUAAAUAAGAUAAAGAUAAACUGCUUUUUACUAAAUGUGGACUAUGAACUGUAAGAUUCUGUUGUGCUUGUGAGCAUCACAUGGCUCUGUGGCACUUCAGAGCAAACUUGAGGCUAUUGGGAUCUCUGACUUCUGCAUUUCUCUGCAUAUAUACCUAUCUUGAAGUUCCUGACUUGGUAAUGUUUUGAGGGAAUAAAUAUGAUAUGAUGUAAGUAAAUAUAAGCAGUGUCCCACAGGGGUUGGCCUUGGGACUGGUGCUUUUCGACAUCUUCAUCAGUGACACAGAUGAUGGCAUUGAGUGCAGCUAAGCAAGUCUGCAGAUGACUUCAAGCUGAGUGGUGCAGUCGAUAUAUUGGAAAGAAAGGAAGUCAUCCAGAGGGACCUGGACAGGCUGGAGAAGUGGGCCUUUGAAAACCUCAUGAGGUUCAAGAAGGCCAAGUGCAGGGUGCUGUACUCGGGUCGGGGCAAUCCCAGAUAUUUAUACAAACUGGGGGAAGAUCUCCUUGGGAGCAGCUCUGUGGAGAAGGACUUGGGGGUCCCGGUAGACAAGAAGCUGUACAUGAACCAGCAGUGUUUGCUUGCAGCCCAGAAGGCCAACUGUGUUCUGGGCUGCAUUAAAAAAAGGAGAGGGAGGUGAUCGUCCCCCUCCACUCGGCUCUUGUGAGGCCCCAUCUCCAGUACUGCAUCCAGGCCUGGGAACCCCAGUACAGGAAUGACGUGGAGCUCUUGGAUCGGGUCCAGGCCCACUAAGAUGAUCAGAGGGCUGAACGGUGAGGUGGAAGUGGGCUCCAAAGCUCCCUGCAGAGAGCUGGGUGAGCCAGCCCUGCGGUGAUGUGGUGACACGGGCAGACGCGGACUCUGCACUUCCUCCUUAUUAGCAACAUAAUCACACAUGAUCUAAAGAACUAGAUGGAUUGGAGCCUGUUUAGGGAGCGGACGAUGGGAGGACUGCUGGGACACGAUGCCCUCUGACUGGAAAACAUCAAACUCUUAAAGUCAAAUCAAAAUAAAAGCGUCAUUUGGAAGCUCACUUUAAUAGCGAAGGAAUAGAUGAUCACUUUGUCACCAGUGCCAUUUUGGCAUUACUUAAGACUGACCUGAAUUCUAGAUCUGGCCGGUCCAUUGAUCUAUGAUCAUAAUGAUCCUUUAAUUACUUGGCUUAAUUAUAGCUAAUUUAUUCUAGUGACAGGUUUACCUAUAUGUAGAUUUCUAGGUUUCUGUGUUAUUCUUCACUGAGAUAAUUUUGAGGCAUAAAAGAUACAGCAAGCCAUGCUUUCUAAGCACCUACUUAGAAGUCACAAAGAAUGUUGACCUUUGUGGGUAAAUUUUCACUAAUGUAUUCUUCAAUCAGGCAGUAAAUAUCAGAGCUGUGAGAAACGUCCCGCGUUCUUCACACACACACAGCGGGGGACUGGAAUCCCUCUCCACUCCGUUUCAGCUGUGCACUCAUGACCUGUGCUUCCAUAAUACCUCUUGGCUGUGAUAUCAGCGCUGGGCGUACCAGCGGUGCACACCUACCUUUUCAUGUCAGCUCUGAUAGAAAGAUGCUGUUAGCAGACGGCGUCAGGUAGUAAUGCAGAAGUGACCUUUUAAUGUCACGCACAGGUACACGAAGAAAGAACUGCCACUGAAAACUUCUGAUUAAAGAUAAAAGUAGACAGCCUAUAAAAACAUUAAGAUAAAAAGUAAAGCCAUGUGCCCUGAGUUUCCCCUGCUAUCCCACCUCCUACUCCAAAUUGAUGUUGUCAGCACUCAUGAUUUUAUCUCCAAUCUUGUGAUGUUUGAUGUUUCACUUACACUGCAGCUACUAGAGUUGUGUAAUGAGGUUAGAAGCCCAGCUUUCCUUUUUCUUUAAAUUAAAGUCAGUUUCUAGUCCUAAUGGUUAGAGUAUAAAGCUUGCAAAUGUGACCCAGGUGCACCCUAACAGCUCAAAAUCCAGGAAGCAAAGUAAAGGAUCUCCACGUUUAUCAUUUUACAGACAGGCUUAUGAUUUUGAGGGCCAAACUGUAGUUUUUGAACAUUUGGAGAUGGCAAUAGAGCUCAAAAAGGAAAAAAAAAGUAUCUGAACGAAGUACCACAAUGUGUUGCAUCUUCCAGAGAAACGUAGUAGUCAUUAUAUCCAGGGUGAGAAUUCUUUUGUCAGACAUAUGUGUUUUCUGAUUUACUUUGGUAUGCAGCAUAUCUGGGUUCAGCCCCACACUGCCUGGGCUGGCGGGGGUUGUAUUUAAUAAUGCUUACUGCAGCGGUCCAGCAAGGAACUAGAAACAGCCCGCCUUGCCAGUCCUGAAACAAAGGAGCACACCAACCAACCACAUGGAAACGUGUAAAUGCAAUGUCUAAAAUGCUUGGGUUGGCUUAAGAAGCUCCAGAAGUACCAAGCACAGGUUUUAAUGUACAGAUCAGAAAUAUUCAGCUGGUUUUAUUGUUGUUUUUUUUUUUAUUAUUAUUUUUUUAAACCAUGCUCCCAGCAGCAACAACCAGACUUGAAGAAAGCACAAUGCUUAAAUGGAGCUCCAAGUUAAUGGAGUUGAUGGUGACUCGACAGUGUGUCACUAAAAAUGGGAAUUAAAUCUAGAACUGGGGAGGUGUGCGAAGCACUGAGUGCAGCUGGAAUGCUGCAUGGGCACGUUGGCCAGAAGUUCUCUGUGUGCUCGGAUGGGUGGCCCCAAAGGUCCCUCACACCUUGCUCUGAUCAUUGUGUAGUUCAUUAUGGAAGUGAAAAAAUUACAGAUAAGCCUUAGGCUUUGUGGUGAAGUGUACUUGCCAAUAAAAGCUGGAGGACUCUGAGACUCAGUGUCUACGUUAGUAAGGAGAAUACAUGGGAAUGUUGUUUCACCAAUAUAAACACAUAUGACAAACUACAAUUUAGUAAUAUAUUAAAAUAAGUAGUAUGUAAUUCUGAACUAAACAAGCUCAUGUGAACCUAUACUGACUGUGACUAAUUUUGUUCUUCAAUUCAGAAGAAAGCUGAAGAAACCAUUUCUGAAUCUCAAUCACUUUGCUGAGACCAAAGAGCAUGUAUGUUUUGGGAAUGGGCAGCAUACAAAUUGCAGUCAUUUGCAUGCUGAUUGCUAUCUUGAUACAACGGAAUCUGUCCUAGAGCCCUUGGCUGACUGCUCAUGAAUCAACCGGGUCUGUUGUCACAGUGCAGUGUUUGAACAGAAGUAUUUCCAUUCCACGUUAUUUUCUAGCUGCUUUCUGAAAAUAGAAGAAAAGUAAGAAUACAAUUGCUGGGACUCCUUAUAAAAUCUCACUAGAUGAGUCCAGGGAUAUUCACCAUUGGUCUUGGUGAAGCUUUCAUGCAUCCUUGAAAGGGAUUCAUUAAGCUGGAAAAGCUGGCUGGAAACCAGUCUUCCUAUAAUGUCUUCCAUAAUUUGCUUCAAGGGACACAUUUACAGUCACUCAGCCUUUUUUAUAGAUCUUGUGCAAGACGAAGGGCUGGGUCACAAUUGCAAGACUUUAAUGAAUAGAUGUUUCUUGCAUGCCACAACCAAAACAAUUUUUCAAGCAUCUCAGCACAGCGCCGUGUUUCAGUAUGGACUUUCCCAAGGAUGUGCAAUAGGACCAUAGCUGCAACCUCUGCAUUCGCAACAACCGCUCUUUUCCAGCUGCUCCUUCUUCGAUUCUGAUCCAUUCACAUGCAGAGACAAAACAUCCAGCAACCACGAUUUCUACUCCCCAUUUUUUUGUUCAAGGAGCUGAAGAUUUCAGCUAUUUCCUUUUUGCCAUGUUACCCACUGUACAGGUUUGCACGGAAACAGAUUACAGUGUGAAGACUCCUUGAAUUAACAAAACAUCACUGAAACUUAUCUAUUAAGUAUAGCCAGAUCUCAGAAUGAUAUUCUGCUUGUCACAGGAGUGCUGAGAUCUGCUUCAUGAAGUCCAUUUAAUUUAUGAGAAUGAUCUCUCAUUCACAUCCCACCGAACGCUACUGAUGGACUCAGCGAUUAGAGAUGGAACAAAACAGAGAUGGCUUUGGGGGCUUGGAUUUCAUUAGAAUUUUAAAACGGGGCAGUAGAUUUGCCCACUGACCUUUGAUUAACAAAUAUGAAUUCAGCCAGAAACGUUUUCUCUGAAGGUAGCCCAAUUAAGAACAGCUUCCUUCCGAGUUCCCCUUGUCUGUCUGUGAAAACUGGGCACGCUGGCACUGGGCUUUUUUUCUGGACAUUUUCCACCUGGUCACAAACAUUGGAAGUCCUGUCUUAGCAGGGUAAGCCAAGUAGCUGUUGCACAAAGAAACACUGAAUGCAUUUCUGUAUUGCAACAGAGACAGCCUUGAAUCACCAUAUUGAUAUACAAGGGAUCAGAUAGUAAACUUUUUAUUAGCAGCCAGGAAUUUCUUUUGAAAAUGAUUCUUUUUCUUUGACAUCCCUACAUAUGUGCUGAAGGAUGCUGGUACAGUUUCUUCCUAUCAAGACAGGAUAUAAUGUGUGACUGUGUUCUAGAAAAGUGUUACUUUUUUUUACAGAUUUAUAAUUUUUUAAUGUCAGAUCACCAUAAAGCUUUCAAGCAAUAGCUGCUGGCCAAAAUUACAUUAGGAAAGUGCACGUUAUGCUCCAUUUCCCUCCGGGAAGGGAGGUAAACACAGGCAAUCUGGACUGGGAGGGGCAGAGCAGAGGUAAGGAGGCUCUUGCUGAGUUUCUGCUGGCGGUCAGUACUCCCAUGUCUUCCCAAGAUGGCAAUACAAAAGGAGCAAUACAAAAUAGCAAAGAAAGGAUAUUGUAUUCUGCUGAAUACUAGCUACUCUAGGGACUGGGCAGUACUGUGUGGUCAUUGCAUCCUGAAAGGGGGGAAGGAGACAGCAUCCACAAAUGGGGGAACAAUACUGAUGUUGUAUUAACACCACUGGCAGACAUAUGUAGUAGGCAGGGCUGGUGGAUGCUGUUCAUCAAGUGCGUGGAAAAGCAAUGUGCUGUAACACUCUCUGGCAUUUUGAAAUAGUUGUGAACUCUGUGCAGCACAACCUGAAACUAUUAUUGUCUGAUUAGUCACAGUGCUGCUAAUUGCAACAGUCACCUUAUACCAAGGAAGCUAGUUUAAGGAAGCUUGGGAUAAAGACCACCUAAUUUAGGUCCCCAUUAGUCACUGCAGUAGCUAAAAUUAGGUGAAUGACUCCAGCAGGACAAGCCAGGUCACUCAUUAUACAAUUACUCUUCAUUUACAAGAGUGAAUCAAAAAGCCAUACUGCUUUCCUGGAUGGAGAAAAUGUUGGUGGGAUUUAACUACUGCUAAAUGCUGCAUUUGCAUUUGCUUCUCUCCCUGAAGCUCCAGCCCUUGCCCCAGGGCUGUCCUGUGGGAACUGCUGUCCUGAGUUUAUGGAAGCUCUUCUCUUUGGUGCCAAACCCAGCGAGCUCACUCUGCUAAGAAAAAAGCAGAGGCACCAAGACGAGCAGAGCCCACUGUAUGCCUUUCCUGCUUCCUGAGCACGUGUCCAUAAGGCUGUGAAAGAGAUGGGAAGGGAUUUUGCCUUCAUCACAGUGUUUCUGUCAGCGUGUCAGAAUCUUCUGAGUCUGUCCUUGCAAUGAUCCAUCAAGUGUCUGGUAGGGCUUGGCCUAAGUCUAGGUUGCAGGAGAAUAGUUCCUGAAGGGAGAGUAGAAAGAGGACAGAGCCAGGCAGUCAGUGGUGCCCAGUUCCAGGACAGAGGCAGCAGGCACAAACGAGGCAGCACCACAGUGCUGUGUGGGUGAUGCACCCUGGCACAGGGACACAGAGGCUGCAGCCUCUCCUCCUUCGAGAUGUCCAGGAGCUGCCAGGAUGUGGGGCUGGGCACUCUGCUCUUGGGUGGCCCUGCUGAGACCAGGGCCAGGGUGAGACCAGAGGCACGCAGAGCUCCUGCCAGCCUCAACCAGUUGGGGUUCUGUGACUGGGAUUCCCUGAUUCCAUGAUACUGUGAUGCUGUGACCUCCAGGGCUUCCAGCUGACCAGAAGGUCCCCUUAGGGCUGACGAUGACAGCGGGCAGGCAGCGCUCCCUUUGGCACCCCUGAAUGGAGAUGCCUCAAUCCAGAGGAUCAGGAGCACAGAUUACACCAAGCACCUUCCUGAAGUACCAGUCGGUGCAUGAAUUGCUUCUGCCCACAGGCAGCACUGUGUAGCUCGGUGUCAGAAGGAAGCAGGGUCAGGUGUUUCCUUGUGUGCACUGAAGUAGUAUCUGCUGCCCAAGAUGCCAGCAUGGACAUCUGAGGUCACGCAGUUCAGCCUGCAGGCAAACAUGAUGUCAUCACUGUCAGUGUGUGAGCAAACCCCCAUUCCAAAAGCAGUUCGUUCUGCUUGCUUUCCUUUUUCUCUCCACUUGUUUUGCUUUCCCAUCCUUCUGCAGCGGGGUUUUGUCCAAGCUUUCUUUUUCGUUUUUCAGCCUGUGUUUAUUCUAGGCCAGUUUUGCCUAUUACACUCCCUUGUCUAGCUUUUGUCUCCACAAUUUUCUUUCUGAUGGGUGGAAAGGAAGAUGGAGUCCACAAGAGAAAAUUCAAUAUCGCCGUUUUUGUGUGUAUGAAAUACUCAGCUCUUUGUGCUUGAUUAGACAAUUUUGAGAUGCGGGCAAGUGAGAAUUACAUUGGUCACAAAACAUUUAACUGACAACCUGAAGUAGCCAUUAGAAAGAAAACCCUUCUAAAGCACGAACUUUUUCUUUUAUUAAACAAUUUAUAAUUUGGUCAUACGGUACUCGAAGAUGCUUACAGCUGAAUUUUAAAGUGUGCUGAUUUCACUUAGUGUCACUUUACAUUUUAUGGGUUGGGAGAUCUGCAAAGCCUUUCGCCAGGCAGAGAGAAAUGCCCCGGAUCCUCCUGGCUGUACCAGGGAAGCCUGAGCUCCUGCUGGAGCGUUGCUACCUGCAGCAUCCCUCACCAGCAACCCGGCGUCUUUGUGCUCUUCAUCUCCAUCACGUCAGCCUUGAGACAUGAUGUGAAUCCAGUUUUGUAAAGGAGGUGGAACAGAACAGCAUGGGCUUGGGACGACGAGAGUAGCGAAAUGUUCGCUCACUGCGUGCAGGUGACUGUGGUUAGGAGGAAGUGUGAACAUUUGCUGGCUCGCCUGGCACAACAGAGCACUUUCAACAGCCUUCCCUUAUGAUACAUUUGAGGCAAUUUUAUUUGGAAUUUCAGUCCAAGAAACAUUUUAAGCUUGUUUCUUUUUUGAUCAAAUUAACACAUUGGUCCUUGGGACAUUCUGCUCAGUGCCUGUAAGACUGCUUCUUCUUCCUGCCCUUCCUCAGUGCUCAGCUCACAUCUACCAGCUAUACAACGUAAACACUGGAUAGGUGUAUUUCAGCAUUACAAACACUAACUUUCAAUGGCACAAAACCAAUUUGGAUUUGCACACAUGCAUCAGCAGCACUACCUGUAUUGAUCCACAAGAGCACGAAACCGAUGUGCAAAUAGGCGCGCACUUCUGAAUUGUGAGCAGCCAUUUGGAGGUCUCGACUCAAGGUCCGCCCUCUGCAGCCAGCUCUGCAGGCUGGCACUUCAGCGGUUCUGUCCGUGUGUCUGCGCCCUGGGCACACCGACAGCCUCUGCAGGCCCCCCCCCACCCCAAGCACUGUGGGUGCUGCCAGCUCCCUGCGCUGGGUGCAGUGUGGGCUCCCAGGGUGGGGGCUCAGGAUGUGUUCCUCACCUUGCGUUAGCAGCUCCUGAGCAGGCACCUGAGCACCAGGGUAAUGCAUCUUCCUGCAUAUUAGUACUUCGUCACAGGCGAGCUCUUGUCAUCACCUGUUUCUCCAGAUGGAUGACUGUUUGGGGAUGGAAGGCUUUUUUCCCCUUUAGUUGGACCAAGACCAUCCAACGGAGUGAGCAGCAGGAGGUUCUGAAAGAGAGAUACUGGCUAGCACUGUUUCCACACACCCGCAGACUGAUCUUUAUGCAGCUGAGACUACAAGGGAUAUCCCUUAAAAUAAUGGGCAUCUUAUUACCCAUCUUCUCCAACUCCUGUGGAACGAAACAUCCCAAAAUUGACAGAAGCUGCUGCACAAAGCUUCUUUAUAGAUCUCAGUGUGCCUCCUUUGCUGGCUCCAGCUGCCCCUACGCUCUGUUUUUCCUCGGCCUUUUCUUCAAUAUUUUUUCCAGUUGACUUAGUUAUUACAGUACACGGACCAGAGCGAGGAAAAUACCCUGAAGGUGGGAGCUGGCAGAGCGGGGGGUGGCAAUGGAAGCGCUGUUGCCAUCCCAUGACAUCACCUACACGGCCAUUGGUGGCACUGCGGUGCGGGGAGGCACUGGCCGGCAUCCCCGGGCUCACUUCCGUGACACAGAACAGAGCCGGGGCCUGUCUGCUGCCAGCCCCUUUCAGUGCCAGCCUGCUGGCAGAGCUCGGGACGUUUGUAAAAACAGUACAGUACUUUAUUUAGCCUCUAGUGAGAAAAAGUCACUUCACAGCUCCGGUUUAGGCACAAGGCGCUAACAAGCAGAUUGGAAAAAAAAAAUAAUCCCUUGCAUAAAAACGUUUCAGAUGAAAAUUGAUUUGUAUGCCAGAUGACCUCGUGGAUCGGGAGAUUGAGCUGUGCCUUUUAUCUCCAAAGAAAUGGGUUCGGAUCCUGAUUAGCCCAUAGAGGAAAUUCCAUUUAGUGGUUUAAUUUUGGUGAGCUGAAAAGCUGUUCCCUGCCUAGAACCGCCAUCUAUUAUGGCGUGAUUGGCAGUCUGUGUUCAAGGCAGAACAAGAACGUCACCUCGGCUCUACUCCUAUUACUUCAUCCUGCCAUCAGCUCUCAGCACCUGACCUCCAUUUCCAAAGAGCCUAAGAAAACAGGCAGGAUUCAAGGUGAAAGUGGAGUUGUGCAGCUGUGCCCGGACAGAGUGGAGGAGGCAAAUGGCUAAGAAAGACUGCGGAGGUGCCAAGGGGAGACCUGGAGAAUGGGACAAGAGGGCCUGGGAAAGCAAGAAGCACACUGAUGGAGCAAUGUUUCAUGAGGGAAAAUGGAAAGGGAAGGAGAAAGGGGAAAAAAGUAGGGAAUGAGGAUGGGCGGGCAAAGGAUGUCUGUGUGAAAGGUGGGAUGCAGGCAUAGCCAGAGCUGAAGGCAGUGAACCAAAAUGAGCAUAACUCCACCUAAAUAUCAGGUGUAAGAAGAAGGCUCUCAGGAUUGGCUCCUGGAACAUCUCACUGUGUCUGAAGGUUCUGGUUGGCAUAGACAUGUCCUGAGUCAUGGAAUCAUAGAGAGGCUUAGGUUGGAAGGGACCUUAAAGAGCAUUCAGUUCCAACCUCCCUGCCAGGACAAGGCUGUCCCCAGCAGAUCAGGGCUCAGGGCUCCAUCCAACUGGCCUUGAGCACUACCAGGGAUGUGGCAUCCACAACAGUCCUCAGCUGGUGCUAAAUAUUUUGCAAUCAAGGUAUCUUAGCAUGGUUUUCCUAAGUCUUCAUUCCUUGGAGCGUGAACCACUUCUGCAGGGGAGCAGAGGAUAUGCAGGAUUGGUCAGCAGCCAGUUCACUUCUCCAUCAUGUCUUUGCAGGAAACAGAGUAAGAGAAGAGAAGAACUCCAGCCUAAUCAAUAGAGUAUCUCCACGUUGUUGGGUUAUGUUGCUACUACCAGCAUAAGCACGUUCCUGGUGGCCUGCUGGGCUUUCUCCACAGAUAUUAAAUGGAGGAAGGAAUUAGAAUUUUGCAUUGUGACACUAAUCAGCCUCGUGACCCUGUUUUGUGCAAUGUUGUGAGCAGAUAGAUAAGAAAAUAUUAUCACUCUAAGGUGGUUGCAGCAGUGGGUGAAAACCUCUCACUGGUGGGAAUGGAGGUUUUGCUGCCAGGAUGGCAUUUCAGCUUUCUUAGUCACCUCGGCUGUCACAGCAGUGAAUGUGCUCAUAAAAUAAUCUCCGUUUGGGUGGUCUUCCUUGGAACAAUAAAAUGUGCAUUUGGAAUGGCACUGAUAAUUGGAAAAAACGCUAUAAAACCAGCAUGGCGAUGAAGUGCAAAGUACUGCAUUUUUUGGGAGGAGAAAUGCCAGAAGGGAUCUCCUGGUGGGGCUGGAGCUCCAGGUGGGCUGAAGGCUGGACACAAGGGCAGGGUGGGAUGUCCUUUUCUGGCUGCAGUUCUCCAGCAGCGAAAGCUGCUCUCCACAAUCCUGGUGCUUCAUCAUCUCCUCUCACCUGAGGCUUUGGCUUCUUCACACACCCCUCAGCCUUAGCAGGGUGUGUUAGAUGAAGGCGAGAAGAGACCUGCUGUCUGUACUGCUGACUGUCGAGGAGGGGUUGGCCGGCAACGGCGCUGGCUGACCUGGGAGGGGAGAGAAGGCAGCUGGGGGUGGUGAUAAGCAGCUGGAGCGGGCGAGAAGAAAUAAACUUUUCACCCAGCUCAGCUGCAGCCAGAACAGGAUGUGUGGCUGCAACCUAAGACAUAGGAGAUAAUUAUUCCACUCCACUUGGCACCGGUAAGGCCUCAGCUGGAAUACGGUGUCCAGUUCUGGGCACUGCACUGUAAGAAAAAUGUAGACAAACUGGAGAGAGUCCAGGAGAGAGACACUGGAAAUAUCAGAGGCACAGAAAGAACGACCUAGGAGGAAAUGUUGAAAGGAUUGUUUGUUUAGUCUGGGAACAGCAGAGUCUAAAGAAGCGAUGAUAAAAAUCUUGCAAUAAGUUAAAGUUUAUUGUAAGGAGGAGAGUGAUAGAUCUUUCCCCAUGGCUGCUGCAGGACAGGGAAAGAAGGAAGCAGCUUCAUUUGCAGCUAAGAAAAGAGAGAUUAGGAGAAACUUUCUGGGAGGGCAGUGCACACAAGCUGCUAGGGAAUGCAUGGGUCUUGUUAAACUACAUAAUAACUACUAUGUGUUCUAUUUUAUUAACAAACAUUGGAAGAAUAAGGAUGGUUUUUUUGUUAGAAUGAUUAUUUUGGGCUAAAGCCUGGGACUGGAUUUCUACAUGUCCACAGCACAGUCAUGUGGGUGCACUUGCAAGAAAUAGCUCUUGGGCUUCAUGCUUGCUCUUCUUCAGCAUCAGUGUGCACAAAACGCAGCAUCUUGUGACUGAUCUCUUAUUGCAAGAUCUCUACAUAUUGUUGCAAUACAAAUAGGUCAUCGUGUAACCCAACAGUUUGUAUAAAAUCCUAUGAAUACAUGAAUAACUUCGUCUUAUGAUUCCAUUUUUGGCUGCACUGUAUUUUUUCCCUUGCAGGUUCGUAUCAGAUACCUCUAAUCCCUUCUUUGUAGACUUGCGGUAUGUGCACAGCUAGAGAUAUAUCCACUGAUAGCUGUUAAUCCUUUGAGUGUUUUUACAUUACACAGCAUAUGUCCAGUGAAAGUUCUGCUGUAUGGUUUAAGGAUACUCGCCGAUUCUCCAGCAACUGCAAACAGAAUACUGCACCAUCCCAGGAAGUUCUCAGGCUGUGAAUUGGAUUUUCUUCUUCAGAAGAGACUCAAAGGACGUCCUAAUAUUUCCAAAAGUUCAGACUAAUGUGCAUUGCAAACUCAGGAAAGAAAUGGACCGAGGGUCAGGGAGGUUGGAUGUGGAGGUAGGAAGCCAGCACACUAAGGUCCCACACAGCGUCUUGGACUCACCGGUGAUGUUGCAGAGGUCAAAAUCUAUGGCUGUAGCUGGCCAAAACAUUUCUUGAGACUUAUGACAGAAUAUGGAUUUUUUUCUCAUGAAAUAAAAUCUAUUAGGGAAUGUAUUUGAGCGCACUUUCAAUUCUUAGUCUCCUUGGAUUCUGAAGUGUAGCUUUAGAUAUGAGUGUUUUGGAUUUUCUGCUGUUCGGUUUUGGUUUAGUCACAAAAUGUUAAAGGUGUUUUAUUAGUUCCCAGUGUACGUACCCAACCUUCAUUCCAUCUGCACAACAACACUAACAAAAAACAUGAGGUAAAGAAUACAACGAGGUCAUGGAUACUUUUAACAUUUUGAGGAUGAACAGCAUUAAGCCUAUAUCACCUUUGAAGUUUAUACUCAGUGGAGCACUAGAGCAGUACAAACCAGUAAAACAAAACAGCCAGUUAAGCGAGGUUACAGCUGCUUUGCUUUCCACAAAAGCACAACGCACCCACAGGAUAUUCAUUAUCACAUGAAUUAUUUUUUGUGGUUCUUCAUGGAAGGUAGGUGUCAAAGGCAUCUAUUGUGAAGAACUGGGACAUGGUCAGCCUUGCCUAUUGAAAUGAGGUGGGAGAGAAAACCAUAUCUCAUCUACUUCUCUUGGUUGCUUUGCAGAGCAUUGGGGUGCUCCCACAUCUUCCUGUUAGAGCUGAAGCAUCAUGGAAGGUUUACUGGGAUAGAAAGGAAAAAUGGGAAAGGGGUAGUGGAAAGAAAGGGAGAACUGCUGUGAUUUAGAUGUUGAACAGUUGGACUUCAAAGACUGUGUUAGACACCUCAGGCUCCAUGUACAAUCAGUGGAGAGGAAAAGUAACUCCAGGGAGAUGCUUGUCUCCUUCAGGACAAGAAAUGCCUGUUUCUCUGCUGCCUCUACGAGACAUCUAGGUAUCCUAGAUAGGGGAAGUUGGCUGGGAUGACCCUGCACGGCCUCCUGGCUGUGGCACUUCCUGGAGGCCGCUCCCACCACUGGGAGUUGCCUCAGGGUGGAAUCACCUCUUCUACUCACCCUGUGGUGACUGCAGGGCAGCAGUGACCGCCAGGGCCGCCUGUGAGGAGGGGAGCAGGCUGCUCAGCUCUUGUCAUGGCCCAGGAGCCCUGACAGACAGCUCGCUUCAGGGCCUUUGAGAUGAAGAGCCCAAAGGGUAGCUGUGGUACUGCAGGACAAGGUUCAGUGGUGGAAGGCAGACGGUCAGACUGGAUGAUCUGUGUAUCUUUUCCAACCUUAAUGAUUCUAUGAACCUAUGUCACCUGCUGGUGGCACCAAGCCAGAGCUGCCCUUGUCUGUGCCUGGGCGGGAGAAGGAGAAGGUUGGAGACUUACGGAAGCGCCCUUUGCCCUGCCUCAGUCCUACGCAAGGACCAGGUUUGCAUUUAACUGCACCUAAGCUGUAGGAAUCCUCACGGCUCAGGAAGCAAAAUCCUUUGGCUCUGUAAGCAGACCAAACCCAUCUUCAUUUGCUGCAUGGCCCCUGAUAGCUUUUCCACAUUUCACAUGGGACUGGGCUCUCAAAUGCUUUUUACAAAUUUGACCAACUCCCUUCCAGCAUCUGGCAGGGCUCAUUUUCCCACUGAUACUUCAUUUAUUCCACAUGAGCUUCCCCACCUUUAUUUCAUCGUCGAAUCAUUACGGUUGAAAAGAGCACUAACAUCAUCGAGCCCAACCAUCAAUUUAUUGAGUCCAACCACCAAUUUAUUUAUAUUUAUGUUCUUUUGCUUUUUUUUUUCAUCCCAGCAGGGAGGCGAGCAAGUGGAAGUGCAUCCCAUGUAACGUCUGGGAACGGCCUCGCAGGGCUUUGGCACCUUGUGCAGGAAUGAGCACAUGCAGGUAGAAUGCGAUGGCUCCCGCUGAGCACGGCUGUGCUGAAUCCUACAGCCCAGCAAAGAGCAGCUGGUUAAGGUGGAAUUUGGAAAUCAGUCACAAGAUAAACAGGUUGCAACGUUAAGCGCUCUCCAAGGGAAAAGCAGCAUGCAGCAUAUGUUCUUACUUUGGAAGAUAUUUAAGAAAGGGAAAAAAAAUAUCACAACCCUUUAAUAGACCCUUUACUGGCUCGUGCUAGUGGGGCUGUUAAUUAAUUAAAUAACUAUAUGUGAAUGGCAUCCAUUGGGAAAGAGCCUCACAGCUUCCAGAUGCCAGUUAUUGGCCCCAUUACAGGCCUAAAACUAUUACAGUAAAUCAUUACAUGCUCCAAGAUGAACUGGCACACGAUUGCUGGGAGGAAGGAUGGAGCUAUUCUCACUUGUGCCAUUUUGUGUCAGUUUUUAUCUAGUGAGAUUAAUUAGGACUUUUAGAAGUGCAAGUCAGAACUAUAAAAUAUUAAAGGAUAUUCCAUCAAUAGGAUGGAGACACGCUUAAGCAGAGCUUUUAAAACUUUUGGAUGUUGACGGAUAGAUAGAAAUUGGAAGAGAUAAUGAGCAACAUCUGACUUUGAUUUAUUUUUUUAGAAGGUCAGAUUUAUAGAGAGUGGGUCUGUACUAAGCCUCCUCUGUCUGCUGGGGGAGUACUCAGAGGAGGACAUUAAAGUUUAUCACUUGAGUUCAGGUGCCAGGUAAGCAAACAGUUUCUCAGGCCAAAACCAAUCAUUUAAGGCCGUUAUUCCAGACACAGAAUCAACUAGAAAGUAUUAAAUAACCCCACAACCUGGAUCCCCUGCUGGGAGGGGAGCACUUCCUGACAAUGGAUGGCAGCCUAAAAUCUAUGAUCUGGCCUUGGAUGGUCCUUUUUUCCCCCGUCUUAAUUAAUAAACUAUACUUUUUCACCCUAAAUGACUACCGUGGACCUUGCUGUCAUUUUAGGCUGUUUGAGGGAUAAAACCAUAGAGUCACCUACAUCACCCCAAGCCUACACCUUUGAAAACCUUCAUGCCUGCUUGGUCUGUUUCAAAUGCAAAAUCUAAGCAGUGGAGGGGCACUGCAGGGUAUUAAACUGUUUAUACAAUUUACCCAAUAAUUAGACACAUUAAUUCACAGGCAGACAUUCCCUCUGAAAAGUGUUCCAUGGCUGGAAUUGAUGGCUAAGCAAAGGGUGGAGAGUUUUGCAGGGGGUCACCAAGACUGUUGAAGGAGUGGUUCCAAGGGGACCCAACACCAGACCACGCAGGGGCUCAGCGGUUCCAAUUGCAUGGAGGACAUCCAGAAAUGUAUAAAUGUGGCACUGAGGGAACAUGAGUUAGUGGGCAUGAUGGUGAUGGGUUGACAGUUGAUUCAAUGAUCUUAAAAACUCUGUGGUCUCUCUGCUGCUCCAAGGUGUAUGGGACACUCCAUAGAUGGAAUGCUUGAUAGCAGUUUACCGUAAGUAGAAAAAUGAGGUAUUUGUUGGCUCUGUGGAUUCACAAGAGAAAUAGCAUCUCUUGAAAACCAACUUCAUCAAGCUGCUUCCCCUGAAGAGAAGGUAAGGAUGCAGAAACAUUCACACGGAUACUACCAGGAAGUGACUUGCUGUGUGAGAAAAGCAUGAGUAAGAGUCUGCUGACUAACCUCUAGUGAAGGGAAGGGAUUGAUUUAUUACCAGAGCACAACAAAUGGAGGCACUGCUCUUGCAGGCUGCUCUGUACAAGCAGAUCCAUGCAGCCAUGUGGCUCUGGUAGGGCCCAGCAGGGCUCAGGACUGGCAGGACUGGCUCAAUAGCAAUAGGAUGGAAAAUUUUACGUUCCAUUUCUCCAGUACAAAAAAUGUCGAUUUGGACAAAAAAAAUCUGGCCAAACAUCCCAAAUUCGGAUGGGAGCCAUGGGACUUGGAGCAGUGAAGCAGAAGGACAGACGGCUGCUUUGUCAGCAGGGCAGCACCCGAUGUAUGUGUUGGUAGGAAAGCACUGCCUGGUCUGGUCCUCAAUGCAAACAAAUGGCUUGCAGGCUCUGGGAUCCGGGGAGGGGAGUGUCACCAUGUGUCCAGCACAAACAAAAGGAUGAGCUGAGCCAAGAGCAGCUCAGUGUUCAUCUCCCAUUCCCUGGCUGUAACCACAGGAGACUCCUCUUGGCUUGCACUAGAAUGGGAUAGAAUGUAAUCGCUGAGCAAAAAUGUUGUUCCUACUUGAUAGCUUAACAUGACGUAGGCAGCAGCUAUGCUUUUGCACUGAGCUUGCCUUUCUGCUCUGUGGAAUCUUAGACUGGCCCAUGCUUUGCAUCAGAGAAAAUGAAACCAGGAGAGGAAAAACACAGCUACUUUUUUUUUUUUUUUUUUCUGGGGUACAGAUCAUGAAUUCUGAGCCAGAAUGAGAUGGAAGCGAGCGCAGGUCAUCACAGCCUGCUACCUGUGAGCAGGGGGGUCUCACUGCAGGCCCUGGGCUGCAAAGUAGAACAGCAGCAGCAGCACGGCUGUGUGUGCAGGUUCCUUCCCAGCCACCACACUCAUUGCUUCAUGCCCCACGUUCUGAGUAUUUUGGGACGGAAACAGGAAAAAGGACUCCAGCCAUAUACCGCGAUCGUACAGUAAAUGGUGGAUUUCAACUUUCCAGUGGGAGGAAUAAUGGACUAGUGUUAGGGACCUGGUGCUGUCAGGUAUGUGCAGGCAGACACAGCUGGAGAAAAGCUUUGGGCACAGAUACAAAGUCCAGUCUGACUUUGUAAAGAUGUAUGCACACCCUUAACUUUAAACACAUAAAUUUUCCCAUUGACCUCCCUGGACCUAUUCAUGCAUUAAACAUAUGCAUAAGCCUCUCUAGAAAGAGGGAAUAUAAUAAAUGAGAUAACCAAAAUAGUUAACCAGAAAUAUUUUCUGUACAGGGAAAUAGGAAAAUUUACAAGGGGUGUGUGCACAUGGGCUCCCAGCGAUCCCUCUUGACAGAAAAGGCCAGAUAAAAUCUAGGCCACAUUGUUAAAGGACAAGGCAUUGUUGCUCGUGUAUGAAGGGUGUUUCCAGCUACCCAUAGCACAGACAAGAGCAUAGUUUGCAUUCAGUACGUUAAUUAAGCAAUUUGCUGGAAUUCAGCAUGUGGUGGAUUGGUGGGAGGCAACUUUAGCUGGGGUUCUGCAGGCUGAGAUCCCUUCGUUACACUGAUGACUCUGAGUGGUGCCAACAGAGCAGCACACUCAGUAGUGCACUGCUGAGGUGGCUUCUGCACAGUCAGCCCUAAACAAUGCAGUUAUGACCCAGUGAAAAGAACUGAUAAAACCAAUCAAGAUCUACAUUAUUAAGCUGUCUAUUGUUGGUGAGAUAUCCAGAGCCUGAUGAUAAGCACCACUGUUAUCAAGCAAGGGGGACUUUCUGCAGACCAUUAAGACUUCGACUUGUUUUUAACCUGUCAUUUUUUUUUAAUAUUCACAUGGGAAAUGUUUCAAUUUUACUGUCCAUAUCUGUCUCUACACAUUGCAUUAGGCCUGUUUUUCUUGAUAGGUUUAUCAUUUAGCAUAUGCUGUACUCAUUAGCAUUUACAUCUAUAGGUUGUUCUGGAGUUACUGUAGCAUAUGGUUGUGAAUGGUAGCUACAGAAACCUCCAGCAAACAAGCAAUAUUGUGACCUGUGCUAGUGGAUGGAGGUGAACAUGGACUCUACCUAUAGCAUUAAUGCAUUUAGUGGCUGAUGCCUGCUUACUUGUGCAAAGCAGAGCAGUGCUCAGGCCUUUCAGACCUGUGUUUGCUAAAUCAUCUUAAAACAGACCUUUAAGCUUUGCUGUUUCAUGGCAGAACUUUCAGCAAGCUGCAUUCUCAACUUCCUUCUGCUUUUCCUUUUGUGCAUUAAAAAUGGAUACUUGACUUCAACAAGGCCAUUAUCCAUAAGCUACAAAAAGCCAACUCCUUACUCACAAACACUUAAGGCUUUCAGACAAUGCAGAAGACUGGGAGGGGAGAGACUGCUGCUUCUUUACAUCAAGACUAUAUCCUGAUCUCUCUUUUGUGUCCAAAACCCAACGUCACCCUACCCAGGAUUAUUAGGGUCUUCCUUUGAGCACCAAACCCAAGGAACUAGUGCGACCUGUAGGCAAACAAGCCAAGUCUGAAACGAGAUGAAGCUCCAGCCCCAGUGCCAGCCUGUACUUGUAUUUAUUCUGCUUUACGACAGACUUCUUUUGGCACAGGGAGAUACACUGCGCUGAGCUUUGGCACAUUGCUUCAGACAUGGAGGAAGUCUGGGAUGGGAGACCACAGCCUAAGUGUAUUUACCUUGCACUCUGUUUUCAUUAGACUUGCUGGAGCUGAAGGGUUCCUCCAUUCCCUUUGAAUGCCCUGUUUUGUGUGAUGAUGACUUUGCAAGACGAAAUGUCUUCUGUCCUAUCCAUGCGUUGCUGUCAUUCACACUGAGAAUCCUGGAGCCUGCGUGUUUUAGUCUGGGGAUGAAUUAGCAUUUUAGUUUUAGUACAUCCUGUCCCAUAAUUAUACUGAAUGGUUUUUGGAAGGAGAGUCUGAAAACCUACCUAUUCCCAAGAAUAAUGAUUUUGGCCUCAAAUAAAGGACAGGACAGGACUGGCACUGAAAUACUGGAAACUCAGCAUAUUAUGAACUUUAGUGCUGGUACUCUGUGAUUUCUUAUCCGAACAGAAAGCAUUUUCAUUUGUAUUGCUUUAUUUUCCUUGAAGGCAGACUUUGCUCCUGGAGAAAACAGACUGUGGGAUCAAAAGAGAUCUGGAGAACCAGCCUCAGUGCUCUGGGCCUGCAAGUUUCCAUCUGCAGGCUCUAAUUCAGCUCUGCUGUGUAUGUAGAAGGGGAAAUGCAGAGCAAAUAGCUCAAAGUUUCACUUUUGGCUUUCAGACGCUGCAGCAUUUUAUUCUCUUUAUAUCCAUGGCUUCUAUUUAAUUCUCUAUCUACCUGUAGCUCUGACUGCACUGACUUUCAGGGACUGUCCUGGAUAUCUCUGGUCACUGCAGUAGAGGAACAACACUGCUGUGUACCGCACAGUCCAACCUAGUCCAGGAGAGGACUGGAGACAGUGCCCUUUCCUUUCCCUUUGCCUCUCACAUCGCCCUGUGGGUAGGAUACAACACAAACUACAACUUACUAGAAAAGGAAGUAUUGGGAAAUGUGUGUUUCCUAUUAGAAAUACAAGUAGUGGCAAUAAAACCCAAACAAGGAAGAAAAGAAAAAGCUGUUUUGAAAUCUCAGUGCUUGGUUAUGCUGCCCUGAUUUCUUAGCCAUCAAUCCUUUGCUGAUACAGGUAGGGCUGGGUAAAAUGUCAUUGAAGCUGAUAGAUGUAACCUCAUUGAGAGCAGCAAAACCACCUGAUUUUCUUCUACACAAAAGCCAGGCACGAGAUCUCACCAAAGCAGAGCCAUGUGCAGAGCUAAGGAGCUUCAGCAAUAAGAGAAAAUCCCACUAAUACUUAGUGCAACUUUACUGCCUUACUGCAGAACUGCACAGGUAAGGAGUUAAAAUAAAGGAUAAGGGAAAGUCACACAAUGACUCUGUAAGCACUGGGACAGGACUGCUCAGCAGGUUGGUGGUGGGGCCUCCCAUGGGCAAGAAAGGUUGAGCUGUGUCCCAUCCCCUGCUGGAAGGAGCUGUGAGAGGGGCACAGACAACCUGCUGUUCCCACAACAAGCUCAGUAGGGUCCAGUCCUCUCCAGAUCUUCCUCUUACUGGCAGUCAUUGGGAUUUCCUGGUGCAUCCUUACCAUUUCAGAGCUUGUUUGCCAUUCACUGUCACUGUGGAUAUUUUCUAUAGGAUCUUGGGUGAGCUGAGCUCUUUUCCUUCAGCUUUUGACGACCACAUGGCUCUCCUUUCUUCCACGCUUUAGCAAACUCUAAAGCUGCUCCCCAAACAGCC
Molecule: long non-coding RNA, 22994 nt
Organism: Tympanuchus pallidicinctus (lesser prairie-chicken)
Lineage: Eukaryota; Metazoa; Chordata; Aves; Galliformes; Phasianidae
Exons: 3
Source: RefSeq, a predicted model, not a curated record